RNAcentral lists this ribosomal RNA (469 nucleotides) under uncultured Rikenellaceae bacterium. Its description in RNAcentral is "bacterial SSU rRNA". It matches the Rfam family "Bacterial small subunit ribosomal RNA", at positions 914 to 1382 of the family's 1533-position model. The record is from RNAcentral. Lineage: Bacteria; Pseudomonadati; Bacteroidota; Bacteroidia; Bacteroidales; Rikenellaceae.
CGGGGGCCCGCACAAGCGGAGGAACAUGUGGUUUAAUUCGAUGAUACGCGAGGAACCUUACCUGGGCUAGAACGCAUUCGGAAUCAGGCCCGAAAGGCCUGCGCCAGCGAUGGCCGCUUGCGAGGUGCUGCAUGGUUGUCGUCAGCUCGUGCCGUGAGGUGUCGGGUUAAGUCCCAUAACGAGCGCAACCCCUACUGCUAGUUGCCAGCGGGUCAUGCCGGGGACUCUAGCGGAACUGCCAGCGUAAGCUGCGAGGAAGGUGGGGAUGACGUCAAAUCAGCACGGCCCUUACGUCCAGGGCUACACACGUGUUACAAUGGCCGGUACAGAGGGCAGCCACCCCGCGAGGGGGCGCGAAUCCCGAAAGCCGGUCCCAGUUCGGAUCGGAGUCUGCAACCCGACUCCGUGAAGCUGGAUUCGCUAGUAAUCGCGCAUCAGCCACGGCGCGGUGAAUACGUUCCCGGGCCUU